AUUGAACGCUGGCGGCAGGCCUAACACAUGCAAGUCGAGCGGAUGAACGGAGCUUGCUCCUGGAUUCAGCGGCGGACGGGCGAGUAAUGCCUAGGAAGCUGCCUGGCAGUGGGGGAUAACGUCCGGAAACGGGCGCUAAUACCGCAUACGUCCAGAGGGAGAAAGUGGGGGAUCUUUGGACCUCACGCUAUUAGAUGAGCCUAGGUCGGAUUAGCUAGUUGGUGGGGUAAAGGCGUACCAAGGCGACGAUCCGUAACUGGUCUGAGAGGAUGAUCAGUCACACUGGAACUGAGACACGGUCCAGACUCCUACGGGAGGCAGCAGUGGGGAAUAUUGGACAAUGGGCGAAAGCCUGAUCCAGCCAUGCCGCGUGUGUGAAGAAGGUCUUCGGAUUGUAAAGCACUUUUAUUUGGGAAGAAGAGCAGUAAGUUAAUACCUUGCUGUUUUGACGUUACCAACAGAAUAAGCACCGGCUAACUUCGUG
This 484-nucleotide ribosomal RNA is filed under the name uncultured bacterium. Its description in RNAcentral is "partial 16S ribosomal RNA". It matches the Rfam family "Bacterial small subunit ribosomal RNA", at positions 30 to 507 of the family's 1533-position model. The record is from RNAcentral.